AGGAUGUCUCACAGAGAUGCAAGGUUUUCUUCCUAUUUACAAAUGAGUGCUCAUUUUCCGGUGAUCUGAUUUAGAAUAUAGAGUGGGUCAUUUCUAUUUCUGUUUUUGAGUGCCUAUGCUUAUGUAGUCAAAGGCCACUCAGGUACUUUCUAUGUGCCAAACAAAGCACUGUGAAACUGCCAGGUGUAGCAGAUAGCAACCUUGGUAAGGUCAGUCUAAAGGAGGCCUGACUGCCAACUGAAUGCCUUUAGGUUUUACUUGGCAGUCUAGGUGAGUGCCUUAUCUAAUAUAGGAGGUGCUUUAGGUGAAUACCUUAUUGUAUUUAAUGGUCCCUUGCUAUAAGUUUACAUUAAAGUCCUUCAUUUUAAAGGCAUCAGUGAUUUUUGGAAUAAUUAUGACAUUUCUCAAUUUUCAAAUAAAGCCAAGGGUGCAUCUAUUUUUUGGUUGUGUACUGUUUAGUUCUAUGUAAGAUACUUUUCAGGCUUGGUGCUUGAGCAGGCCUUGAUCAUUCAUACAGUCCAGCCUAUAUUAAGGAAAAGAGCAUUUCUUUUUAUUUGUUUCCUAGCAUAGUUAUUAAAGGCUCAAGGCACACUAAGGCGCCCAGGAGACCUGGAGCCUAGGCGCAAGGCACAAAACACAAGCGCGUGCCUGAGCAAGGUGAGGCGCAAAAGUAAAAAAU
RNAcentral lists this unclassified non-coding RNA (679 nucleotides) under Hevea brasiliensis (rubber tree). The record is from RNAcentral. Lineage: Eukaryota; Viridiplantae; Streptophyta; Magnoliopsida; Malpighiales; Euphorbiaceae.